AAAGAAAGAAGUUCUUCGCAGAGCUGAAGUAUUACUUUUGGGAGGAUCCCAUUUUCUACAGAAGAGGCGCAGAUUAGAUAAUCAGAAGAUGUAUUCCUGAAGAUGAAGUACCUGAGAUUCUAGAACAUUGUCACUCUUCUGCAUAUGCUGGGCAUUUUGGAGCUUCAAAGACUGUUGCAAAGAUACUACAGUCAGGUUUCUAUUGGCCUACUUUAUUCAGAGACACAUUCGAGUAUGUUAAGAGAUGCGAUAAAUGUCAACGAACCGGAAAUAUCUCAAGAAGAAAUGAGAUGCCACUAAAUUACAUCUUGAAAGUUGAAAUAUUUGAUAUAUGGGGAAUAGACUUCAUGGGACCUUUUCCCCCAUCGUACUCAAAUCAGUAUAUCUUGGUAGCCGUUGACUAUGUCUCUAAGUGGGUGGAAGCUAUUGCAUUGCCUACUAACGACGUGAAAGUGGUGAUAGAGUUCUUGAAGAAGUACAUAUUUAUAAGAUAUGGCACACCGAGGGCAAUAAUAAGUGAUGGGGGCAAACACUUCAUAAAUCGUCAAUUACAGCAGUUGUUGAACAAAUAUGGGGUAAAACAUAAAGUAGCAACUCCAUAUCAUCCACAAACCAAUGGGCAAGUUGAAGUUUCGAACAGGCAGUUAAAAAGAAUACUAGAAGUUACAGUGAACUCAUCCCGAAAAGAUUGGUCUAAGAAGUUGAACGAUGCACUGUGGGCUUACAGAACAGCGUUUAAGACACCAAUAGGAAUGUCUCCAUAUCGUCUGGUUUUUGGGAAAGCAUGUCAUCUACCAUUGGAGUUGGAGCACCGAGCAUAUUGGGCUAUGAAACAGUUGAAUAUGGAUCUCAAGUCUGCUGGUGAAAAAUGACAGCUGCAACUUAAUGAAUUGGAUGAGAUGAGAAUGGAAGCUUACGAGAACUCAAAGUUGAUCAAGGAGCGCACCAAGAGAUGGCAUGAUUUAAAAUUCAGAGGCGAGAGUUUGAAGUUGGUCAGAAAGUGUUAUUGUACAAUUCUAGACUCAAACUCUUCCCAGGAAAGCUAAGAACAAGGUGGUCGGGUCCCUAUACCAUAACUAAGGUGAUGCAAUAUGGGGCUAUUGAAGUGAGUCACGAGACCAAAGGCACUUUCAUCGUCAAUGGGCAAAGACUGAAACAUUAUUGGGGAUGUAAUUUCCCUAAGCAGAAGUCCACUGUGCAACUCAACAACCCAACGUGAAGAAGAUACAGGAAAGUCGAGCUAUCGACUAUAAACUAGCGCUAGGUGGGAGGCAACUCACUGUAUCCUUCAAUUUAUUUUACUGCAUUUGUUUAGGAAUUUGUUUACAUUUCGUAUUUUUUUUAGGUCUUCGAUCAUUCACACAUGAUAGUCUAGGCACUACACGUUUAUAGUUGCAUGAGUCGGGGUUAAAGAAAGUGUUUUGGGUGUUUGAGUGUGAAGUAAUGAAUUUCGUGGUUCAACGUCAUUCGUUUUAUUUUUCGAGAUUUAAAAAAAAUUCGAAAUAUGUAGAGUUGAGUCAAUUUUGAAUUUGAAAACCAACGUAGGGAGAUUUUUAAAAUUCAUGGUGUGUUUGGGGUUAAAAUUAUAAGUUUGUUUAAUAAAAAAAAAAUGGGUUUGGUCCAUGCGGCCGCAUGGACAAGGGGUCCAUGCGGCCGAACACAAAAUGGGUAAGACCAAGUACACCAUGCGGUCGCAUGGUGUAACACCAUGCGGCCACAUGGUGUCUAGGUGACGGGUUUUAAACCCGUCACUUGUAAAUCACCCCCAAACCCUCCCCAAAACACCUCCACACGAACACACUCUUCUUUCCCCCCCACCCCACCCCACCCCACCCCAACUCCACCUUCACACAAAACAUCAAUCACCAGCGCUCUUGCACAUCUUCACCCUAACCCCACAUUAUUCCCAACAUUGGUAUAUAUUAUCAAGAAUUUUGGAGCAAAGCUUUUACCUUUCUUUCACAAAGAUCUCAAGGUAAGAAAUUGAAUUUCUAUGCAAAGCUUAAAGUUCUUCUUUGAUUUCAUGACAUUUUCGAAUUGGGUAAGUGGUGAAUUGUGAUUAAAUUGUGAUUUGUGGACUAGCCCUAAGUGUAAAUAAAAAACAAAGUGAAGGAAAUUUCCAAUGUACACAACGUGUUCGAUUAAAUGUCAAUGAGACAUAUGAUUCUAAAUUUUGAACUUUUCAUUUGUGUAAUGAUUUACAUUGUUAAUGUGAGGCGUACUAGUCGAGAAAUCUCAUGGAAUGUCAUUGGAAAACGUUAGCCUCACAUAUAUGUGCACAUAACCACAUAAAUUGCUAAGCCAUGUCAACUCACGUCACUAACUUCGUCCAUGUAUUUUCCUAACCAAACGACCUCUGAUUGUAGUAAAAUUUGGAUAUAUGCUAGACCACAAUGAGUACUUUCAUAUGCCCGGAUCUUGUCUUGGGAAAUUGUAAUAUUUCUCAAUGAUGCUCGGGGCUAAAGUUGGUCACUUAAUCAUGGGUCGAAUUUUCAAAAAGUGCAUGUUAGAGCCAUAGUUUUGAGUUUUUCUCAUUAAUGCAAUAUUGAUGUUACAUUGACUUCCAUGCGUUGAAUAUUGCACAUAUUUUGAAGAAAGUUUGGGGGAUUCUUGCAUGUCAAUGAUAUUCUUUAUCGUUUUCCUAUUUCAAGAACUUGAUACACUUUGUUCCUUAUUUUUGUAGGAUGCCGCCGAAGAGAACAUCAAAAGGUAAAGAAAAAGUUGAUUCCUCCUCCGGCACAGCCCACACCAGAGAGCUAAUAGGAGGUGUGCGAAGAUUUCGUGAUGCCGAAACAUUAGCUCGAUAUGAAAACAUAAUACGCCAUUGGGGCGUGAUACCAGAGAGAUAGGUCCGGUUAGAUGAUUUCCAUGGUUUUGAGUUGACAAAUCUGAUACAAAUUUGUGGAUGGGAGAAGAUUGUAGAAAAGCCACACCCGAUUUAUGAAAGUAUAGUCCGCGAAUUUUAUGCAAACUUCAAUAGUGAAAUUGAGACUCCGGGUUCUGAACACUUACACCAGACAUGGUGCGAGGUAAGUGGAUAAUGUUCUCCCCAACAGUCAUUCAUGACUUCUACAAUCUUAAUUUGGACAAUGUGGUCCCGAUUCUCACUCAAUUCAAUUGGAAUGAAGUGGCUGAAGUUCUCUUGGGAAGAGAGAAUGCUUGGCCCCUACCCACUGUAGAGUGGCAUCAAAUUGAGCUUACUCCCUCCAUAGCCAUCCUUUGGGUCUUCAUGUGCCAUAAUAUCGAACCCACAUCGCAUCGGACAACUUUCACGGAUCAAGCUGCUGGGUUCAUAUAUCAUUUAGUCUGGGGAUGCAAAGUUGAUUUAGCUACUCUUAUUUUUGACCAGAUACAAAAUUUGGGAACCUGGGGAGAUAGGCGGUCUUCGAUGAUUUUCCCUAGUCUGAUUAGGCGGAUAUGUCUUGCCGCCGGUGUUACAGUUGAGGCAGAAGAGAUGCCUGAGAAAUCAAGUCCAUUGAUAAAGCUCACUACAUUUGAAGCUCAGGAACGAGUUAGGGUAAGGAAGAGAGAACAAGACAGACUUGAGCAGCAAAAACAAAAUGCGCAGGAAGAAGGACAAGUUGCUGAAGAUUUACACUUACCACAAGCCCCGCCACAACCAGUUGAGAUGGAUUCACAGCUACUUCGACAGAUAUUUGCCACAGCCACUGGAACUAGCAGGGAUAUAUAAAAUCUCCAGCAGAGGUUCGAGACGAUGACCACCACUGUUGAAAAAGUGCAGGAGACCUCUACUCCUCCCGAGACUACACAAAAGGUGCUUUGAAUGAAGCCACAGCUGCAAGAAGGGAAGUAGAGACUAUGAAUGGUAGGUUCCACAUGUACGCUGGGAGAAUGGAUGGCAUACAGUGGCAUGUGAACGAAACUUCGGAUCGCUUGGGAAAUAUGGAAAGUAGUCUUCAAGCCAUUCAGGGCGAGCAAGCACAGCAGUCCGAGUCAAUGAGACAAGUCCUAUCUCGCCUCCCACCUCCUCCUGAAGAUGAUGCUGCGGGUCCCAGCUUCACACCACAGCCACCGAAUUGAUCAGGGGAGUUUUGUUAAUCUCUUAUUGCCAAGUUGUGUCCAUGUUUUAAAUUCUGCCAUUUUAACUUCACAUUUUACAUUGAGGACAAUGUAUUGUAUAAGUUUGGGGGAUGGUAGCAUAAUUUCAAACAAAUAUUCGGCAUGUAAUUAUUUUGCAUAUUCACAAUCCAUCGUUAAUUUUGACAAGUUUUUGCAUGAUGCAUGCUUGAUGAGUGAAUCUUUAUGAACGUUUGCAUGCUUGUGUGGGUUUGGUAGCCUUGUCGGCUAUGAUGUGAUUAUUGGACAUGUAUAAGCUAGAAACUGUGGAUUUAGUGCAGGAUUUAAUUUGCUAAUACUUGUUGAUGCAUUGCUUGACACUCU
This 4401-nucleotide long non-coding RNA is filed under the name Olea europaea subsp. europaea. The record is from RNAcentral. Lineage: Eukaryota; Viridiplantae; Streptophyta; Magnoliopsida; Lamiales; Oleaceae.